UUUUCCUACGGGGCGCAGCAGUGGGGGAUAUUGCACAAUGGGGGGAACCCUGAUGCAGCGACGCCGCGUGGGCGAUGGAGUACUUCGGUAUGUAAAGCCCUAUCAGCAGGGAAGAAAAUGACGGUACCUGACUAAGAAGCCCCAGCUAAAUACGUGCCAGCAGCCGCGGUAAUACGUAUGGGGCAAGCGUUAUCCGGAUUUACUGGGUGUAAAGGGAGCGUAGGCGGCGAUGCAAGUCAGAAGUGAAAGCCCGGGGCUCAACUCCGGGACUGCUUUUGAAACUGUGUUGCUAGAUUGCAGGAGAG
Molecule: ribosomal RNA, 305 nt
Filed under: uncultured bacterium
Lineage: Bacteria
Description: bacterial SSU rRNA
Rfam family: Bacterial small subunit ribosomal RNA
Source: RNAcentral